UCAGCUUCCUUCUGUUUUGAGUUGAAACCCACGGAAUUCCCAGCAUUCCCAACCAUAAGUAAAUAUUUUCUGCCCAAACCUGGGCACUGCAGCAGAGCUGGGUAAGGAAACUGCUGGUUUGUGCCUGGAUACCAAGGGCAGCUGCCUAGAAGGUCAAUGAGGAAUAAUCAAUAAUCUGAGCAGCGAGUUUGACUUUCUCCAGCGAACAACAAGGCUCCCCAACAUCAGAACAGUGCAUCCCCAGGUCCAGCCCUCCGCUGGUGGGAGUCAGCACAGGCGUCACCAGGGCUGCGAGAAGAGCUCCGUUCCACAGACCCGUAGACCAGCAGCACUUAUUUCAACUGAAUUAGCAAGAAAGAAUCCAAUAUGCGGCAAAACUGUUGUUCCAGAGAAAUGUAACAUUCCAGGUCUGGCUCGCAGCCUCCCCCACAUCUCCUGCAGGCAGCAGCUCCCAGGGACCCCAUUGCUGUCCCCAGCAUCAGGCGUUGCAUCUCCUCCAUGGGGCAACAACAUGAAAUGCACAUAGGACUCAGCACAAAGGGCUUCUCUUGGACCUUGGGCAGAUGACCAUGCUGGAAGGCUGGGGAAAUCAGUGCUUAACCAAGCCACAGCUCCUGCUCUGGUAGCUUUCCUGCAUCAACUUUGAGAAUAAUACUGUGGAGACUUUCCAAAUAAUGGGAAAAAGGGAUUUUACGUUGGCCACUAGACCUUGAGAUCCAUGCAGUGCUUCUCCCUGCAAAGAGGAGCUGCUCCAAAGCGCACCAUGGAGGAUGCAAACUCAGUGCCUCUCUGGGUGAGGGACAUUACCUGCUAGUACUGCUCCUGUUGAGCCACCACCUCAUUCCCAUUCUGAGUUCUUCAUCCCCUGCCAAGGAGGGCCUAGGAUUUUCCCAAUCUUUUCAUUUCCCAGAACUGCAGUAUUGAGGCUGGCAGCACCUCUGGAGCCAUCUGGUCCCACUCCUGUUCCAGUGGGGACACCCAGAGAUGUACCCAGGUAGAUGUUGGGGAUCUCCAAGGAGGACACCCCACAGCCUCUGGGCAACCUCUUUGAGCCU
Gallus gallus (chicken) is the source of this 1055-nucleotide long non-coding RNA. The record is from Ensembl. NCBI's taxonomy places the organism in Eukaryota, Metazoa, Chordata, Aves, Galliformes, Phasianidae.